RNAcentral lists this ribosomal RNA (616 nucleotides) under Enterococcus sp. HPCN18. Its description in RNAcentral is "bacterial SSU rRNA". It matches the Rfam family "Bacterial small subunit ribosomal RNA", at positions 199 to 796 of the family's 1533-position model. Lineage: Bacteria; Bacillati; Bacillota; Bacilli; Lactobacillales; Enterococcaceae. The record is from RNAcentral.
GGUGAAAGCAGGGGACCUUCGGGCCUUGCGCGAUUGAAUGAGCCGAUGUCGGAUUAGCUAGUAGGUGGGGUAACGGCUCACCAAGGCGACGAUCCCUAGCUGGUCUGAGAGGAUGACCAGCCACACUGGAACUGAGACACGGUCCAGACUCCUACGGGAGGCAGCAGUGGGGAAUAUUGGACAAUGGGCGCAAGCCUGAUCCAGCCAUGCCGCGUGGGUGAAGAAGGCCUUCGGGUUGUAAAGCCCUUUUGUUGGGAAAGAAAUCCAGCUGGCUAAUACCCGGUUGGGAUGACGGUACCCAAAGAAUAAGCACCGGCUAACUUCGUGCCAGCAGCCGCGGUAAUACGAAGGGGGCUAGCGUUGUUCGGAAUUACUGGGCGUAAAGCGCGCGUAGGCGGAUUGGAAAGUUGGGGGUGAAAUCCCGGGGCUCAACCCCGGAACUGCCUCCAAAACUAUCAGUCUAGAGUUCGAGAGAGGUGAGUGGAAUUCCAAGUGUAGAGGUGAAAUGCGUAGAUAUCGGGAGGAACACCAGUGGCGAAGGCGGCUCUCUGGACCGAUACUGACGCUGAGGUGCGAAAGCGUGGGGAGCAAACAGGAUUAGAUACCCACGUAGUCC